This 388-nucleotide ribosomal RNA is filed under the name Gephyrocapsa sp. RNAcentral's name for it is "partial small subunit ribosomal RNA". It matches the Rfam family "Eukaryotic small subunit ribosomal RNA", at positions 582 to 975 of the family's 1831-position model. Lineage: Eukaryota; Haptophyta; Isochrysidales; Noelaerhabdaceae. The record is from RNAcentral.
AUUCCAGCUCCAAUAGCGUAUAUUAAAGUUGUUGCAGUUAAAACGCUCGUAGUCGGAUUUCGGGGCGGGCCGACCGGUCUGCCGAUGGGUAUGCACUGGCCGGCGCGUCCUUCCACCCGGAGACCGCGCCUCCUCUUAACUGAGCGGGCGCGGGAGACGGGUCUUUUACUUUGAAAAAAUCAGAGUGUUUCAAGCAGGCAGUCGCUCUUGCAUGGAUUAGCAUGGGAUAAUGAAAUAGGACUCUGGUGCUAUUUUGUUGGUUUCGAACACCGGAGUAAUGAUUAACAGGGACAGUCAGGGGCACUCGUAUUCCGCCGAGAGAGGUGAAAUUCUCAGACCAGCGGAAGACGAACCACUGCGAAAGCAUUUGCCAGGGAUGUUUUCAUUG